AUGGCAAGGGAGGACAGGAAGCGGAGGCAGCCCGACGGCGACGAGGCGGCAGACGAGGGGGAGAGGAGGGGGCGGAGGGACAAGAGGCCCAAGGAGGAGAAGCCGGCACCGCCCCUGCCGUCGGAGAUCAGGAACAAGGAGAAGCGCAGCGAGGUGUACGCCAAGCUCAAGCGCGAGAAGAAGGCCCAGAAGCGCAGGCUCGGCCGCGAGCGCGGCCAGGCCGCCCAGCGCGCCGCCGAGCUCGGCGAGGAGGUGCCGGAGAAGCAGGUGCCCCGGACGAUCGAGAACACCAGGGAGCCCGACGAGACCGUCUGCCGGCCUGACGACCAGGAGCUGUUUGCAGGGAAUGAUGCUGAUGAAUUCAAUGCAGUGCUUAAACAAGUAGUAACCCCGAAAGUAUUGAUUACCACAUGCCGCUUCAAUUCAGGGAGAGGACCUGCUUUUAUUAAGGAGUUAAUGCAAGUGAUUCCAAAUGCUCAAUAUGUUAAUAGAGGAACUUAUGACCUCAAGAAAAUUGUGGAAUAUGCAAAUAACAGAGAGUUCACUUCAGUCAUGGUUGUCCACACAAAUCGACGGGAACCUGAUGCGCUGCUGAUCAUCAACCUACCUGAGGGCCCUACUGCACAUUUUAAGCUAUCCAAGCUCGUUCUGCGGAAGGAUAUAAAGAACCAUGGGAACCCUACAAGUCAUAAGCCAGAGUUGGCGUUGAACAAUUUUACUACGCGCCUUGGUCAUCGUGUUGGGAGGAUGAUCCAAUCUCUCUUCCCUCAAGACCCAAAUUUCCGCGGCCGCCGAGUUGUGACCUUCCACAAUCAGCGAGACUAUAUAUUUUUCCGUCAUCACAGGUACAUCUUUGAGGAGAAAGAAAAGAAAAUCGUUUCGAAGGACAAGAAAUCGAAGGGUGAAACCAAAACUGAGAAGCAAAUAAACUGUCGCCUUCAGGAAUGCGGCCCUCGGUUCACCCUCAAGCUGCUCACAUUGCAACACGGCACCUUCGACACGAAAAGCGGGGAGUACGAGUGGGUUCACAAGCCCGACCUGGACACGAGCAGGAGAAGGUUUUUCCUGUGA
Molecule: ribosomal RNA, 1071 nt
Filed under: Triticum aestivum (bread wheat)
Lineage: Eukaryota; Viridiplantae; Streptophyta; Magnoliopsida; Poales; Poaceae
Description: partial small subunit ribosomal RNA
Source: RNAcentral